This 103-nucleotide ribosomal RNA is filed under the name uncultured bacterium. RNAcentral describes it as "partial 16S ribosomal RNA". The record is from RNAcentral.
CCGCGUGGGUGAAGAAAGGUCUUACGGACUUUGGUAAAAGCCCUUUUAGGCCAGGGACGAGUGAUGACGGUACCUGCAGAAUAAGCCCCGGCUAACUUCGUGC